RNAcentral lists this long non-coding RNA (1156 nucleotides) under Sarcophilus harrisii (Tasmanian devil). Its description in RNAcentral is "lncRNA (ENSSHAG00000020833.1)". Lineage: Eukaryota; Metazoa; Chordata; Mammalia; Dasyuromorphia; Dasyuridae. The record is from RNAcentral.
GCCGGCUUUCUGCAAUCGCCCCCUAGGCCCCUCCGCUCUGCCGAGAGAAGCUCGGCCCCGCCCCUCUGCGGAGCUCCAGUCCGGCCCCGCCCCUCUGCGGAGCUCCGCUCCGGCCCCGCCCCUCUGCGGAGCUCCGCUCCGGCCCCGCCCUUCCGCAGAGCCGGGCUUGGGUUCCACCCCUCUGCAGAGGCCUGGGCAGGCCCCGCCCCCUGCGGAGCCCUGCUCUUCAGGCCCCGCCCCUCUGCAGAGCUCUACGCAGGGUCCUCCCUCCGCUGGCUCCGCCCCUUUGCGGUAGAAGCCGGGGCGGAGCUCCCCAGCCCUCACUGCGGUCUUUCUUUCCUGUGGCCUCGGCCGGUGAGGUCAUGUCUUUUCGAGCUCCGCCACACGUGGGGGGUGAAACCAGCUGGUGGCCCCCAUGAGAAGUAUGAGAGAUCGUUCAUGACAAGGAAUUUCAGCUUACAAAGAGAUCAGAAGCACAGAAGGCUUUGAUCCUAGUGGAAGAACAGUGAUGAAAAACCCAGGAAUCUCCCCCCUCCAUGAAACUGAGUGGCAGAGUGAUUUGAAAUGGGUAUAAGAUGGAACUUCUGGUACUGGGAAGAACUGAUUGCUGGAUGAAGAAUAAUUACUAGUCCAAGUUGGGUUCUCUCUACUGUAUACAAUCAUUCCCUGAGGGGUUUGGGUGGCUAAUCAUGCAAAUUAAAAGGAUCUAAUAGGAUUUGCUACUUGAUAAGUGAAAGUAAUUACUCAUCUCCCUGUUGACUUGAUUAUUGUGAUUUUAAACAAAAAUUCUCUUUCUGUUAUAAUGAGCAACUGAAAUGUAAAUGCUAAAUAAAACUAGUAUAAAACUCCUUGUUUUGUGGUUUUGGGUGAUUUAUAAUAACAUGGGUAGGAAUUGUAAAGACAAUGAAGAACAUAACAGCGUCCCCAUUUCUAGGCCUGAAUUCUGUUAAUUUUAUUUCAUUUGACUCCAUAGCAAUGAGUUUUCUUUAGAAUAUCCACGCCUUGAAUUAAAAACCCAAAGCAAGCCAGGAGAAUGACCCAAAGGAGAAGGCUUUUGUAUCCAAUUGUGUACAAAAAAUAUGGCCAAAUGUCUGAGGAUUUCUAUGAAAGAAAACAACCUCCUAAGAGCAACUAAUUAAGGGCUUGAAGGGGAGAU